Long non-coding RNA from Carassius auratus (goldfish), 545 nucleotides. RefSeq lists it as uncharacterized. The transcript has 2 exons. The record is from RefSeq and is a predicted model, not a curated record. NCBI's taxonomy places the organism in Eukaryota, Metazoa, Chordata, Actinopteri, Cypriniformes, Cyprinidae.
GAGGGUGAGUCAUUAAUGACAUGAUUUCCAUUUUUGGCUGAACUAACCCUUUAAUUCUAAUUAUAGUUUGACUUCCCAAUAACAGCACUGGUUUGGAGUGUUUUGAAGUGUUAUAUAGUGUCGUUCAGUGCAGGUUUUGUUUCUCAUGAGCUCUUAUCUCUGCUGCACUCACAUUCUCUGCAUCUCCUGUGAUAAAUCAAGAGCCUAGUUCCAGCGAUAAACCCACUCCAGACCUCUUCACCUGUCAGUGCUGAUGAAGUCUGACUCUCUGAUCAUGUCUGUGUCUGUAGGUUUUGGAGGUUUUGGGAGCACCAACACUAACACCAACCAAGCCCCGUCUCAGACGUUCAGCAGCUGGAGGAGUUGAUCUGUGGACACUGACAUCAUCUGAUGUGAUGUGCUGUGGUUUUACAGUGUUCACGGAGGAUUGAAUAUACCAUGAGUUCAUGUUCUUAACAAUGUGCUGAUGUCCUCCUGUUUUAUGUUCAAUGUGUUUCUUCUGUUAACUGCACAAUGAGAAAUAAACUCAAGCGCUGUUGACCGUA